RNAcentral lists this ribosomal RNA (319 nucleotides) under uncultured bacterium. Its description in RNAcentral is "partial 16S ribosomal RNA". It matches the Rfam family "Bacterial small subunit ribosomal RNA", at positions 46 to 364 of the family's 1533-position model. The record is from RNAcentral.
UCAGGCCUAACACAUGCAAGUCGAAAAAAAAACACCUCCGGGUGGAAGAGAGUGGCGAACGGCUGAGUAACACGUGGAGAACCUGCCCCCUCCCCCGGGAUAGCCGCCCGAAAGGACGGGUAAUACCGGAUACCCCGGGGUGCCGCAUGGCGCCCCGGCUAAAGCCCCGACGGGAGGGGAUGGCUCCGCGGCCCAUCAGGUAGACGGCGGGGUGACGGCCCACCGUGCCGACAACGGGUAGCCGGGUUGAGAGACCGACCGGCCAGAUUGGGACUGAGACACGGCCCAGACUCCUACGGGAGGCAGCAGUGGGGAAUCU